UCUGUAUGAGGCCUGGGGGCUACAACUGGUAGUCCCUCAAAACUGGGCUGGAGAAUUAAGAAGAGAGAAGCUGUGAUACUACACAAAAUCUAAGCUAAGUGCUGCAGCCUGCUCUACACAUCACCACACUCUGGGAACAGAACAGCUUCCAAAGCACUGGAGCCCUACGGACUCGCACCAUCUUUCCCUCCGGAAGAACCUCAACAUCUCUGCGAGACAGGUCCCUAAGGCACCAUGUUGCACACAGUCCAGCUCUCCUGUUGCCAGGGUUCCAG
Ficedula albicollis (Collared flycatcher) is the source of this 275-nucleotide long non-coding RNA. RefSeq lists it as uncharacterized. The transcript is spliced from 3 exons. Lineage: Eukaryota; Metazoa; Chordata; Aves; Passeriformes; Muscicapidae. The record is from RefSeq and is a predicted model, not a curated record.